AUCUAAAAAAUUCAACCAAUUAGAAGUUCCAGUUUUGACAUGUCAACUGAAUUUACUCAGCAAAAUUUUUUGCCGGAUCAUUCAUUUGGGCUAACAAAAUAUUUAAACGGCCCAAAUUAAGCAUAUAGCCUUCAUGUUUUUAUUGAUAUGCUUUUCCCCUUUCUUCCACGAUCUGCAUCCCUAAUUGACUUCUUUAGACUCUAACCUCUAGAUGACGAUUCAUUCACUCUUCAGAUAUUCCUCCUUCGUUAUAUAUACGAUCCGACUUACACGAUAUUUUUAAGUGUUGAUUUUGUCCGCGGAGAGGCUUCUCUGUCACUAGAUGAAACAGAUCUGAGCUUUGAGGUUAUAGAAAAUAUGGCGAGUUCAGAGGUUUCUACGAAAGGAAAUCAUCGUGGAGGAAUAGAGAACUUCUCCGCCGCUUUCGCCGGCGGCGAGGCGGAGAUAACUCAGUCUAACCGCUCUGUGGGGGCUGAGCGUGUUGUCGACCCUGAAACUGCUCUCUACAAAGAGCUCUGGCAUGCUUGUGCUGGUCCUCUCGUGACGGUCCCUCGACAAGAUGACCGUGUCUUCUACUUCCCUUAGGAACAUAUUGAGCAGGUGGAAGCAUCGAAAAACCAAGAUGGCGGAACAGUAGAUGCCUCUCUAUGAUCUUCCUUCGAAGAUCCUUUGUCGAGUCAUUAAUGUUGAUUUAAAGUGGUGCUUAUGCGCAGAUUACUCUUUUUCUGGAACCUAUUCAAGACGAGAAUGCAAUUGAGAAAGAGGCACCUCUUCCUCCGCCCCCCAGGUUCCAAGUGCAUUCUUUCUGCAAAACCUUGACUGCUUCGGACACAAGUACGCAUGGUGGAUUUUCUGUGCUUAGCCGACAUGCUGAUGAAUGUCUCCCGCCUCUGGAUAUGUCACUUCAGCCUCCUACUCAGGAGUUAGUAGCAAAAAAAUUGCAUGCAAAUGAGUGGCGUUUUAGACAUAUUUUCCGAGGUCAACAACGAAGGCAUUUGCUUCAGAGUGGGCGGAGCGUGUUUGUUAGUUCCAAGAGGCUGGUUGCAGGCGAUGCAUUUAUCUCUCUAAGUUUUGUUGGUUUUUGGUUCAUGGUAUUCUUGAUUUGUAUCUAUAUGUUUAGUUGAUCUGUAAUAUCUGGUUCUUCUGCAGGGGUGAGAAUGGGGAAUUACGUGUGGGUGUAAGGCGUGCAAUGCGACAACAGGGAAAUGCGAGAAGGAAGGCACACAGGUUACAAAGAGAACAGUUUCCUCUUCUUUGUUUCUUUACCAGGAGCGUUGAGAUCAUAUAUGAUGCAAUAUUACAUAUGGUAGCUCAGAAACAUUUCCAUGAGCUGAUCGAGAUACAAUGGUACCUACAGAUGAUGUGUGAAAAGCAACUAAAGUUACAAGAUACCAGGAGCUCUUCCUCAAUGCCUUAAUCAAAGCAAUGCAAUGGCAUGUUUACCGCAUCAAAAUUUGGUUUCAGGACAAACCGUUAACCAAACUGAAUCUGCUUUUGUAUCAGUGAAACUAAGUCCAUUUAACCUUCUUUUCUUUUUCAAUCCGAGUACAAUUAAGAAAAUAUUUAUCUUGGAAAAAUGAUUACACAUAGAAUACAGCGAAGAACCUAUAUAUUUUAGAUGUUUCUAUACUUAUAGGUGAUAUAAAGCGCAAAAGUUAGGAAUGUGUAAGAGUUUCAAUAAGAGAAAAUUUUGUUUAAACAAAGAAAGAGAAGACUACUACAAGAAAACAAAAAUAACAAGCCACCACAGAUAACCAUGAAAGUUUAGUAGAGUAACAUAUAAGGUUAUUUUCGUUUGGCUAUACAUGUUACGUGGGAAUUAGUUUAGGUGGUUUGUUGCAACUCAGAGAUACAAUAAUGCCAAAUGUGUUAUAAAAAAAUAUCGUUUCCUUGCUUUAAAGUCCAGGAACACAUAGUGAAGAUGAUUACAAAAACAACUGAAACUUUAUAUUUAUUAUAAAUAUCAAAAUAAGUCAUUGUUUUGUUUAACACAUUGUGACAUGCAUAUCUUAACUUAUAAAUAAUAUUAGUUUCAUUUACUAUACUAGGUAAUUUUCUCUUUGCAUGUACAUAAUCUAAAAUAAGCACAUACAGUAACUGAUUAAUAUUUUACUUAGUUAUAAUAUUUGUUAUUUUGGUUAGACAUGUUACUUCCAUAUAAAGUAUCUGUCUGGUUUGGUUAUUAUAGUGUAAUGGAUUGUAUAGACUUUUCUGAGAAAAAAAAAUGAACAGCAAAUUAAAUUACUCCCUUUUAGGGUAUUAGUAAUCAAAAUCAAUUUUUGGUUUCAUAAUUUCACAAAUCCAGUAACUAAAGAUCAACGAAUUAAAUAAAAUUAAUAUAUCUACAUAUUUUUACAAUCUUUUUACACUAAAUUUUAAUCCACAAUAAUAAUUUAACUAUAGCUAUAUUCUAAGAUAUUUUUCUGCUUAUAACUAAACAAAUAAAAUAGUAAAUAAUAAUAUUUUCCUAAAAUUUCAGUUUAUUUAACACAUACAACUUUAUAAAAAAAAAAAUUUAUUUAAAGCAAUUAAUAUUUUAAUUAUAUUACUUAUUAUAAUUGUAAAAAUUGAUUUAUAAUCGUAAAAUAAUAUAUUAUACAAGAUUAAAUACCAUAUAAAUACAAAAAUUAACAUGAUAUAAAUACUACAUAUAGCAAAGAAAUAUGUGAUGUCGAGAUUAAUAACAUUUUCUCAUAAUAAUCUAAACAUAUUUAACAAAAAUUAUUUCGGAUCAUAACUACGGAUUAACAAAUUCUUCAUUCAUUUCUCAUUUGUUCACCAUCUCAUACAUAUUUUAGAUAGUAAAAAAAUGUGAGUUUUAUUCAUUUCUAUUCAAUUUACUAUUUAUAUUUUUUAUAAUCUAGAUGCAAUAUAUUGUAAUAUAGAUAUCACAUACAAUGUUAUUGGUAUAAAUCUCGGGUAAAAUUUCUAGUAUUAUUAAAAGGGGAAUGAUUAAUUGCGGCGUUUUCGGUUUACCAAGACUAUAAUAUUUCUCUUUUUGUUCUAUGUUUCUCGAAAAGGUGAUGAAAUUACUUUUUUGUUUUUGUUUUGCUAGUGAUUUAUUAUGUGCGGUUUCCGAAGUUAAUAUAAAAACGGUAAAUUGUUCACCAAUCAUAAAGUUAUAUGAAAAACACAUGUUUUGGAAAAUUAAAAAAAUAAGAAUAAUUAUAUUAAAUAGUUAUUUUUAAGUUUUUAUCAUACUUCGAAAAAAAUAGCUUCAUUUUAUUUUAAAAUUUUUAAUAUUUUUUAAUAUAUUUUAAAUUUGAAAUUCUGUUUCCAAAACUCUAUCUUUUAACUCUAAAUCCUAAGUUUAUAUUAGUUAAUUCUAAGGUUAAAAUGAAUUUUUACUCUUUAAUAAAAUUUAUUUUCGUCAUUUUUCUUUUCUAAAGGUUUUUUUGUGAUAAAAAUUUAAGAAAAACUAUAGAAUUUCUAUUAUUUUUUUAUGAUUGUCUAAACUAGCUCUAAUUUAUAUCUUAAUGCUAUUUUUUUUUUAAAAAAUAGAAUGAAUUGAACCGAAAUCUAUAGAAAAGCAAGUAACUAAAUAAACAAGAAGAUACCAUUUUCAAGUUCUUGAAAGAAAUAAAUAUUUAAAGAUUUUCCAUUAAGCAAAUGGGGACAAAGACAUUUUAAAAAGGGUAUUAAGAAAAUGAUUAAGGGGCUCCACCAUAAACCCUAGAUUAACACAAAAAAGGGGGAAAAAAAGUGUUACCAAGGUCAAGAAUUUGAUUUGACCCAGGUUCUUGUUUCUUCUUUGUAUCAACACCGAGAAGCAUAGUCCUUAACUUCCCCGGAGAAAAUCCGCCGCUAGUAACCUAAACACAAAACUCAUAGAAGAAAGAAAGAGUUUAAUAUAGAACUGCUAAAGUAAACAAAGAUGAAUGAAGUGCGAUUUUGAAAAGGACGUUUUUUUUCCAAGUCCCAAAUCAACACGAAAACGACAUAAUGGAAACGAAAUCAAAAAGAGUAGCUGGCAAGUAGAAGAAAACACCAAAUCUUGCUUUCUGUUUUCCCUAAUCUCAUGCAAAACCCUAUUUCAAGAAUCGAGUAAAGCGUGAAACUGAAGCAUUUAAAGCUCACCUGGGUCUUUCCGAUUCGCUCGUAAUCCAUCGAAAGGGUAGUAGACUCUACUCAAAUCUUGAGAGAGAGACCUCUCAGUCACAAGAGAGUCCUUGGUGAUAAUGAUCGGGUAAGAAGUGAUGGAAAAGAAAAUAAUAUUCUAAAAGAUUUGGAAGAGUGCAGUGAUGGAGCUUGGAAGCUUGUGAAAGUACAGAGACUCAUACACUGUAUAUUGGUUCUUCUUCUCUAACUUUCUCUCUCUCUCUGCUUUUUCUUGUUUUUUAAGCUGACAUCGAAAGAAGGGACAUUCACAGUUAUUAUAGAGAGCCUUUAGACCAUCUUUAACGGUGAUACUUAAUGGGGUCCUUAACCUAAUUUGGUGAUUUAAUUAAAUGAAAACAAAAUUAAAAGGGGAAAGUCGAUCCUUAAUAGGUAGUUUUUGUUAACGAUUAUUAGGGUGGUUUUUAGACCACGUGUCCGCCCCACAGUUUUUAUAUUUUUAUAUUUUUCUUUUUUCUUUUUCUUUUUCUUUUUCUUUUCUUUCUUUCUUUUGUUUUCUCACCCUUUUGUGUUCUUGUUUUCUCCGGAGAACGAUCCAAACCGACGACAGACGCGACUCCAUCGGUCCACUCGACCUCUCCUCCGUCUUCUUGGUGAGAAGAUCGAUCGGUACCCACCAGGGACGACGACGCUCUCGAUCCUCACUGCUCUCGAUCCACAGACGAAGACUCUCUCGUUCCUCACCACGUCUUCUCUCGUCGCGAUCGUCCGAAGAAGGAUCGAAAUCCACGACUUGCGUCUCCUCCGUUGGUCGUAAUGGCGACUCCUCCGUCAGACGAGUGUGGCGGUCCUGUUAGAGCCGUUAGAAGAAGGACUGGAACCCACCACAAUCGACGAGUCUCUCAGUCCUCACCGCCUCUCCUCCUUCGGUUCUCGUCUUCUCCGAGUGAAGAAUGAUGCUAACCCAUCACAAACGACGGCGUCUCUUCCGUCGGUAUCGAUGCCUUCGGUUUGGUGAUCACUUCUUCAAGGUAAAGACGAUCAUAUUGUUUGUCCUAGUAUAUAGAUUUAGACUUUGCCUCUGAAUAUAAGCUAAGUGAUUGUGUUAAUUAGCCAUGUGAUUUGAGAUCUAAUUUAGUUCAUUGUUUUGUUAAGUGAUUGUGUUGAAAAGCUAGUGAUCAUGUUGAAAAGAGAUCUAAUUUAGUUCAUUAUUUUGUUAAUUAUCAAUGUGAUUUGAGCUCGCGACUGAAGAUCCUCCUACUGAAGUCACAACCCGAAGGAGUUUAUCGAGAAGCAAACACCACUUCACACUGUCGAUGAGGUACGUGAAGGUGGCGAUGGAAGAAUUGGCAAAUGAGUGGCUUAGUAUUUCUGACACAAGGUCUGCAUGGAAAGUAAAAUCACAUCAAAAGAUUAUUUCUGACCCAAGGUCUGCAUGGAAAGUAAAAUCACAGCAAAAGAUCUGGAUACAUGUAUAAAGAUUGUAUGGAGAGAGAGAGAGAAACUUCAUGGCUCUCAAACAAAUUUGGUAACGAUCAACUUUGUAACACUGAGGCCUUGAACGAUAAGGCGGCAAACAUAACGCAGUGAGGAAAGAAUAAUAUGUUACCAUUCACUAACAUUUUUUGGCUUUUACUUUAACUUAAAAAAGUAAUUAAUUUAAAAAGAAAGUGAAGUGCAGGAUGGAAACGUCGUUAAACCGCAGCUAAAAUUGGAAGAAGCUAAAGCUAUGAUUAAUCCCGAUCUUUUAAUCAGGAUUAUUAGCUUCAGUUAAAAGACGGUCUGUAGCUUUUAACUAAGAAAAACUAUGAACCAUCUCUUAAAUAAGAAAUAUAAGAGAUGUCGCUUAGCCGAAAAAUGUAAAAACAAAAAAAAUGUCAAAUCAUAA
This is an RNA transcript of Brassica rapa (field mustard), 5944 nucleotides long. It is a transcript of the gene named auxin response factor 2-like, with no coding region annotated. Lineage: Eukaryota; Viridiplantae; Streptophyta; Magnoliopsida; Brassicales; Brassicaceae. The record is from RefSeq and is a predicted model, not a curated record.